CCAAACUGAUCCCACCUCUUGCCCAUUGCCAGGCCAUGGCACCAACCCCAUAGCAACGGGCUCUCCGAACGU
This 72-nucleotide small RNA is filed under the name Stutzerimonas stutzeri. Its description in RNAcentral is "Pseudomonas stutzeri Pseudomonas sRNA P10". It matches the Rfam family "Pseudomonas sRNA P10". Lineage: Bacteria; Pseudomonadati; Pseudomonadota; Gammaproteobacteria; Pseudomonadales; Pseudomonadaceae. The record is from Rfam by way of RNAcentral.